GGAUGAUCAGCCACACUGGAACUGAGACACGGUCCAGACUCCUACGGGAGGCAGCAGUGGGGAAUCUUGCGCAAUGGGCGAAAGCCUGACGCAGCGACGCCGCGUGAGUGAUGAAGGCCCUCGAGUUGUAAAGCUCUGUGGGCGGGGACGAAUAAGGGUUGGCUAACAUCCAACCUGAUGACGGUACCCGUUUAGCAAGCACCGGCUAACUCUGUGCCAGCAGCCGCGGUAAGACAGAGGGUGCAAACGUUGUUCGGAAUUACUGGGCGUAAAGCGCGUGUAGGCUGCUCCGCAAGUCGGAUGUGAAAGCCCUGGGCUCAACCUAGGAAGUGCAUUCGAUACUGCAGAGCUUGAGUCCUGGAGAGGAAGGCGGAAUUCUCGGUGUAGAGGUGAAAUUCGUAGAUAUCGAGAGGAACACCGGUGGCGAAGGCGGCCUUCUGGACAGUGACUGACGCUGAGACGCGAAAGCGUGGGGAGCAAACAGGAUUAGAUACCCUGGUAGUCCACGCCGUAAACGAUGGGUGCUAGGUGUCGCGGGCUUUGACCCCUGCGGUGCCGUAGCUAACGCAUUAAGCACCCCGCCUGGGGAGUACGGCCGCAAGGCUAAAACUCAAAGGAAUGA
This 622-nucleotide ribosomal RNA is filed under the name uncultured bacterium. Its description in RNAcentral is "bacterial SSU rRNA". It matches the Rfam family "Bacterial small subunit ribosomal RNA", at positions 298 to 912 of the family's 1533-position model. The record is from RNAcentral.